AACGAACGCUGGCGGCGUGCCUAACACAUGCAAGUCGAACGGGAUUAGGGGCUUGCUCCUAAUCUAGUGGCGCACGGGUGAGUAACGCGUAGAUAAUCUGCCUGAUGAUCUGGAAUAACAUCUCGAAAGGGGUGCUAAUACCGGAUAAGCCCACGGGUACUUUGGUGCUUGCGGGAAAAGGGGGGGACCUUCGGGCCUUCUGUCAUCAGAUGAGUCUGCGUACCAUUAGCUAGUUGGUAGGGUAAAGGCCUACCAAGGCUACGAUGGUUAGCUGGUUUGAGAGAAUGAUCAGCCACACUGGAACUGAGACACGGUCCAGACUCCUACGGGAGGCAGCAGUGGGGAAUUUUGCGCAAUGGGCGAAAGCCUGACGCAGCAACGCCGCGUGAGUGAUGAAGGCUUUCGGGUCGUAAAGCUCUGUCAGGGGGAAAGAAGUGUAKUGUGG
This 445-nucleotide ribosomal RNA is filed under the name uncultured bacterium. RNAcentral's name for it is "bacterial SSU rRNA". It matches the Rfam family "Bacterial small subunit ribosomal RNA", at positions 29 to 460 of the family's 1533-position model. The record is from RNAcentral.